CCUACGGGAGGCAGCAGUAGGGAAUAUUGCUCAAUGGGGGAAACCCUGAAGCAGCAACGCCGCGUGGGGGAUGAAGGUCUUCGGAGUGUUAACCCCUUUUGGUAGAGAAGAAAAUGACGGUAGCUAACGAAUAAGCAACUGCCAACACCGUGCCAGCAGGCGAGGUAAUACGCAGGGGGCAAGCGUUACCCGGAAUCACUGGGCGUAAAGGGCGUGUAGGGGGGAUAGUAAGUCAGAUGUGAAAUCCUAUGGCUUAACCCUAGAACUGCAUUUGAAACUGGUAUUCUAGAGUGUGGGAGAGGUAGGUGGAAUUCUUGGUGUAGGGGUAAAAUCCGUAGAGAGCAAGAGGAAUCCUGAUUGCGAAGGCGACCUGCUGGAACAUAACUGACGCUGAUGCGCGAAAGCGUGGGUAGCAAACAGGAUUAGAUACCCUAGUAGUC
Molecule: ribosomal RNA, 440 nt
Filed under: uncultured bacterium
Lineage: Bacteria
Description: partial 16S ribosomal RNA
Rfam family: Bacterial small subunit ribosomal RNA
Source: RNAcentral